RNAcentral lists this ribosomal RNA (486 nucleotides) under uncultured bacterium. Its description in RNAcentral is "partial 16S ribosomal RNA". It matches the Rfam family "Bacterial small subunit ribosomal RNA", at positions 29 to 507 of the family's 1533-position model. The record is from RNAcentral.
AUGAACGCUAGCGAUAGGCUUAACACAUGCAAGUCGAGGGGCAGCACAAGGUAGCUUGCUAUCUGGGUGGCGACCGGCGCACGGGUGCGUAACGCGUAUGCAACUUGCCCUAUACAGGAGGAUAACCCGUCGAAAGACGGACUAAUACUGCGUAUGCUCACAACUUGGCAUCAAGUGGUGAGGAAAGAAAUUCGGUAUAGGAUAGGCAUGCGUCCCAUUAGCUUGUUGGUGAGGUAACGGCUCACCAAGGCAGCGAUGGGUAGGGGAACUGAGAGGUUUAUCCCCCACACUGGUACUGAGACACGGACCAGACUCCUACGGGAGGCAGCAGUGAGGAAUAUUGGUCAAUGGGCGCGAGCCUGAACCAGCCAAGUCGCGUGAAGGAUGACUGUCUUAUGGAUUGUAAACUUCUUUUAUACGGGAAUAACAAGAGUCACGUGUGACUCCCUGCAUGUACCGUAUGAAUAAGCAUCGGCUAACUCCGUG